Molecule: transfer RNA, 72 nt
Filed under: Camelus bactrianus (Bactrian camel)
Lineage: Eukaryota; Metazoa; Chordata; Mammalia; Artiodactyla; Camelidae
Also listed under: 2 other names
Rfam family: tRNA
About the family: Transfer RNA (tRNA) molecules are approximately 80 nucleotides in length.
Source: Rfam by way of RNAcentral
GAGGAUAUAGUUCAGUGGUAGAGUGUGUGCUUAGCAUGCACAAGGUCCUGGGUUCAAUCCUCAGUACCUCCA